CGGGCCGGCCCCGCCGCCCCUGGCAGAAGCAGCCGGGGGCCGGGCGAGCGGCGGCCCCGCCCGCAGCGGAAGGGAGAAGACUUCCCUGUGAAUUCAGGGAGAGGAUUGCUUUUGGGAUGACCGAAAGUUCAGAUUCAAUGCCACGUACAAGAUACAGUGAGAUCUGAAUUACAAUAAGAUGCCUCUGCCUACAUCUUCCAUCACAACUGGCUGUCAACUCUCUUGCAAGGCUGUUUUCUAAACCAGUGUGAUGCCUCAGGUGCAGAAGAGAGAGACAAUAAUUAACAAUGUGGCCUACAGCAUCUUGGGGAACAAUUAAUUUUAGUGAAUGGACAGGGGGAGGAAGAGAGAAGGGGAGAAUCACUAAUACAGCACCUAUAAAUCAGUGUUGGGGCAGCGCAUCAUCAGCCUAACUCUUCAGAAACAUGCAAGACAAGUUACGUAGACCGCAGUUUCCAUUGGACAAGAAUAUUUUGAAUCCUUCAAAGGAAAUAAUAAAUUUGGACACAGUAAGCCACAGAUGACUUUUCAUUUUCUUCUUUAAACAUAAAGGCCUGCUGACCUUCUGUGAUAGAUUGCUUCCUGAGAAUACAAUUCAGACAGUGAUUAUUGCUUAAGACACCAUCUCUUUGAAGAGUAUAUUGUGUAAUAAUACAAUAAUGUUCCAUUUCAGGAAACAUCUGUGUGAGACACAUCUGCCUCCUGAUCUCUGGCAAACACUGUGACAAGGGGAAUCAUCUCGGCAUCCAGCAAGUGCCACCUCAUUUGUCACCAUGGUGCCUGUGCUUCCCCCACAGUUCCUCUGUCUCACUUUCUCGGACCCUCAGCUCUGUAUUAGUUCAUAAAAAAAGGGGAUUUGUCUUCACUGUUCCUGAAAUUUUAUUUUUGAGGUUUAUUUUUGAGAUUGGGCUAUCUGUUCUAUGUAGAAGGAAGGACUUAAGGAAAAAUUGAGCAAUGUAUGACUUUAUAGAAUACUUUAUUUAGCUUUUUCAGUUUGUAUGACCGGUGAUUCCUGCUCUUUCUGUCUCUCAUGAUUUACCUUCAUUAAAUGCUCUGAUCCAUGCUUAAAAAACUUCCAUACAGGCCUCCUUCCUUUCUAAACAUCACAUCUCUCUGCACUAAAUGAAGGCAGAAAAGAAAAGCUUCCCAAGGUACAGUGAGCAGAAAGUGUGCAAGUGCAAACCCAGACAGAGGAAAGGAUUAAUUCAAGCCUGAAAGGUCUCUGUAAGCUGGGAAGGUGUGCUAGGAAGGUGUUUAGCACAGAUAAGGACAGGAGACCCAGGGAGACAAAGACUGAAGUUAGGGGGUUUGGGAGGAUUCGUGAAAAGGACACCAGGAAAAAUAGUAAAUAGGGAUUUGACUGAACAAUGCAGUAUCUGUUAGAGAGGUGUUACAGGGGAGCCCUGGCGCUGAGAUCAGGGAGCAGAGGAGCUGGGGAGGAAGGGAGGCAGUCACAGCAGUGCCUGCAGAGAGUGGCAGGUGCUGAGACCAUGAGAAAAGCUGGGCUGUGAGUCCAGGUCCCUGAUCUACCAGCAAACAGUGGAACGACGAUUAAUUACAUCACAACUUGAAAAGUGGUGUUGUUUUCCACCCCUUCAAAUAGAGUCCACUAUUUACACUUGAAUCCACUGAUGGGCAGGAUUUUUUCAAAGACAGAAAUGAAAAACUGAUUUUAAAAAUCCAAAUUCUGUCUCACAAACAUUUCCAAAAAAUAGAAGACUUUGAAAAAGUAGUCUGAUGAGCUAAAAAUCUUGCUGUUUAUACUCAGAUUGAAGAAAGGCUGUCUGGAAGUUUCAUUCUCAUGCUAUUUUUGCAUUUUAUUUGGAAGCCCUUAGGGUCUCAAGCAGAAGCUGUAUGUAAGAGAAAAUGAAAAAUUUAUCUGAAUACAUCUAUCACAAAACCAACACAAAUGCAGGAAAAAAGGUACCUCAGGCUAAGAGAAUCUGGAAAAAUUGAGAAGGAAGGCUACAGGGAGCUCUUUGAAAGGAUUGGUGCUGGUGUUCUCUGGAGCCCUGCGAGAGGGAGCACUAUUUUUUUCUGGAAGAAAACAAAGAGAAUUGCAAAUAUCAUGAACAGACUUAAACAUACUGUCCAGAGAGUUGUACCUCCAUUUUAAGGUUUUUAACUGCCCACAAAACAUAACUUUAAAGAGUGUGAGAUAUGUCUCUAUGGUGAAAAGGAAGCCCUACUCCUUCCUCCUCAGAAUGGAAGCUGUGCUGCAGAGGACCAAAAAAAAAGAGGGGUCUGCUCUUAUAUGCUUAGACCCAUGAAAGCAUGAGGGAGGAAAUCUCUGGCCUUCAGUCCCUCCUGGCAGAGGCACCUGGGCCUGGGAGACAGGAGCAUGUGGUGGUCAUCCUGAGCCUAUCUGCACAUACUGGUUUGAGACAGUUCUCAGGACAACACCCACAUUUGAAAGUCAGUCUCACAAUUUCCAGCAGUAACCUUCUCUUAGUUUUCCCUUUGGACUGGUUUAAGUAUCUCCUUGCUUGGUAAGAUGGGUGUUGUGGAUGCCAUGUGGAUGCUAAUCUGGAAGGGAACACCUGCCUGGCUGGGCUGGCACAGCAUCACUGACUCCUGGUCUGAGUAACUGGAAACUGAGGGUUUGCAGCACUGAGUAUCACAGUGCUGAGGCCUUUCUUGCAAUUGCUUCAAAUCUCUACUCAGCAGCCAUUAAGUCUUCAUGAAUACACAGCAAGCAUAAACUUACAUGCUUUUAUUGCCUCAAGUUCUUCAAAAGUACUGUCUUGAAACACAGUAUGAUGGAGUGGUUUAACAACAAUUAAAAAAGAUAAUCAGGAUAUCUGUUGUAUAUCUGCACUGCUAUAAUUUGUUUAGUGAUACAUCCCCUUACUGUUUGCUCAGCUUCUAUAUGAGUUUAAUUUCAAAUUGACAUUUGGUCUUUUGUCUUUUUGUGGAAAAGCAACCAUGAUAGUAUUUAAUUUCAAAUUUUCUGUUUAAUCUAUCAUUUUAAAAAUAGACCAGAGUUGAGUUCUGCAGUACUUUUAAAAUAAAAUAAUGGUUUCACAAAAUCAUGUUAGCUUGAAGAAAACAUUCAUAUUGUCAUGUUAGUGUUUGCUCAGUGACAUAAUUUGGUUCCCAAAAACUUCUAUAAUUUAUCAUCUGUGGCAAGAGAGAAGAAAGAUCCCCUCUGAUUACAUGCCUGAUGGAAUAAUGUUGUUAGCAUUUCUGUUUCUCUCUCCAGAGGCUUAGGGUCUUUGUUUUGCAGGGGAUAUGGAGGAAUAAAGUAUUCAUAAAAUGGGUGAGAAAAUUAUUUUACAUUUACAAUAAUUGCGUCCUUAUAUUUAUCACUUUCUCAAAUAAAUUUCUUACAAAAAACCCCAAAAGCUUUCUUAGAUGCAAAUGGCAUUUUUCACAUUAACUGUUUCUAGGGUCCCAUGUUAAUGCUUUUUGGAAGCCUAUUGCUCCAUUAGUAAUAGAUGUUCUCACUCUGCCAAGUUAUGUGACAGAUAGUUGAUAGCCAGUGAUGAGCUAACAUACAUAUAUGCUAGACAGGUGCUUUCAUGCCAUUGAAUUACCAUCAUCUGCAUUUCAACUCUGUUUUGGCACCCUAAAAGUACCCAAGGAGAAAACAAUCAACAGUUACAGAACCUGAGAUAGGAAAGGUUACAAUGGAUUCUCAGCCCAAGCAUCUUCCUGGCUGGCAGCUAAUUUUGCUUGCCUAGGCUGAUAAAUAUGGAAAUUCAUCUGCCUGAUGUCAGGUGACUCGAAAGGUGCCUGUGUCUUCCAUGCUUUACAGUCUCAGCUGAUAUCUCACUAAGUGGUACCUUCUGAGAUGAUUUGGGGGCAUGAGAAAACACAUUGUCAAUGAAAAAAUCUGUUGCUGAAAUUCUUACAGAUCCUCAGAAAAAUAUUCCUUUGGCAAUUUCCCUCAGCAACCCAAGACCCUUAAAACCACAGGUUUCAUGUUUUCUACAGUUCUGGUGAUCCUCACCCAGAGCUUUUUCCUUUACCCAUUUCUGUCUGCUUCUAAUGCAGCCCAUUUCUGGAAAAUACUGCUUCUGACCAUGAAAAAGGUCUAUUUCUAGAAAAUUCUUUGGUCUUGCUAUCCCAGAAAGCACUAUACUGGCUGGCUAAAAGUACUGAGGCUCCCAGACCAACAAACAAAAUUCUUUUUAAAACAUUGAUGUGAGAGAGGGCAUAAUUUGGAAUAUCAAAGCCUGCCCUGUCAGAGCCACCCUUGUUGUUAUUUACCAGAGGUCCUUGUCUCCCCUUAGCUUUCCCACUGUACAUGUCCAAGAUCCACUGUUUUAAAAACACUUCUGAGGAAGCUUUAAGAGUCUUAUCAUUUUCUCACUGACAAUUGUUGGUCAACCGCACCAGUUAUUCACAGUGUGAAUUCAUCAGAGAGGCUUUAACAACACUUGCAUGUUUUGUGCUUCAUUUUUUUAUUUAAAUUUGUCCUGCCUUUUGUGCCUUUUUUCCCCACCACUUUCUCCUCUGUCACUUGGCAGUGUGUAAAGCUGUUUCAAUCACUCUGUAGUGUAUUUAUCUGUUGCAGUGAUAAAAGGAUACACUCCCAUCCUUUCAAACUGUCAUUUGCUUAAAAGAAAUGUCAACAGUGCCAAAAUCCAUGAUGCUCAUAGCAUUCACACUUCAGGGGUAGAAUUAAAUGGCUAGAUUAAGACCCAUGUGGGUCAAUUUUUUCAUGCAUUACAGCUAAAUGAAGUUGAAUGUUGCAAAUGGAAAAUGCCUCUUACCAAGCACUUAACAUAAUCUCUUUCUGUUACCUUAGACACCUAGAGAGAGCACACAUCUUGCAUUAUCUCACAUGCUGAAGGUCCAGGGGAAUGUCAGCCACAAGAGCCACUGUAUGGGUUUUCCUACCAGUGCACAGAGGUAAUUCUCAGCACAGCUGUUCUGGGGAGACCUGGGGAAGGAUGGAGGUGGAUUUCAGAAGUCCAGAGAGAAACACCUCAAGGUGCUGCUCUGAAUCCAAAAUAGGCCUCCUAAGCCCUAAUGCUCUUUCAGCAAGUGAUUCACAUAAAGCCCCAGAGGAGGCUGCUCCUUGACAAAAUCCAUGGUGCCAUGUGUCACUUCUGACAGAAGAACAGCUGUCUCCAUAAGCUUCAUUUGAAAAUGGCAGGAAAUCAUUUUGUGGAGAUGGCAGGGUGUUCCAGCUGCUGCAGAUUAGACAAGUCACCUUCAGCACACUUGGUAUGCCAACCUGAACAGGCAGUAAAAAGAAAGUGGAUGAUGAAGCACUACUAAUUUGCAAAACACUUAACCUGUAUGCAAUUAUCAUAUAUAGUGCCCCUAGCAGAUCAGCUCUGCCACUCUCCACUGUUACAAAACAGCAGACCCAUGCUGGGAAUCACCAUAGGACUAAAGCUUCAUGCAACUGGAUUAAAAAGGUAGGAUGCUGUGUAAUUUUCUACAAACCUGCUUAUUUAAUUGGUACUAGCAGAAAAAGCAGUACUCCUCAUUUCCUGAAGAAGUUAGGGAAGCACAAAGCGAAGAAAAGAGCAUUUCCUUUCUAGGCAAAGGUGAUUUGUGCAAAUAUUAAGGGCGAAUGGGUAGCACUGUGUUUUUUUUCUGUAGUUUUUGUUCACAGCAGGAACCUAAGGUCAUUAACUACAGAUAGAAUAUACUUCCUAUUUCACAGCCAAGAUUACUAAUAGAUCAGAAACUGCAAGGGUUCAGAAAGUUGUAAUGAUUUGACUUUUUUAUAAAUCUGUUCACUGAAGUGGAUGCUUUAAGGAAGAACAAGUGCACUACCUAAAUCAUAAAUCAGUGGGGUUUAUUUAUUGUUUGAAUUAAAACAAAUAAUACAAAAAUUAGGUAGUAGAUCUUUUUCUGCUUUUAUAAGGUGGUUAAAGACUGUGCCCUCUGGCAUUUGUUGGACUUCUAGUUUCUCAAAUUUUCUGAUUUUCAUCUUAAGUACUUUCUCUCUAUACUAGAAAUAUGUAAGUGCAAGACACAUGUCUUACCUCUAAGUCUCCAAUAUGGGGGUUUUAUGAAUUAUGAAAGACCUGGAAAUGAGCUUCAGGUCUGAAUUAUGUGUUUACCAGCAGAAAAAGUUUAUGAGAAUUACCCAUUCUGUUUUUAUUGCCAAUUUGAACUACCUACAGGUCUUUCUUCUCUCCUGCCCAUCAACAGCCAUUCUUGGAGAGCUAAAUAAAUUACAGGUGCAGUUUGGGUUCUGCUGCAAUAGAAAACACCACCCUGGUAAAUGUUGAGAAAUGCCAGGAGCUGUAUUGACUAACUCCUUUGCUGGAGUCUCAAACUGAGCACCACCCUCAGUGCAGGUGAUACCCAUUUCCAUGUUUCCCUGGAGAAAGGGGAUUUAUUUCCAGAGUCUGCUGUUCCAUGGAUCUUGAGGGAACUGCAGUUCUGAGGACUGUUUUCUGUUUUUCAUCCACCUGCAACAAGUCUCACCAUCUCCAUUAAAAUCACAAAAGAAACAAACAAAAAAGAGUUUUGGCUUAUAAUUUUUUAUGGUCUUGGCUAGGGUCUUUAUUGGACAGUUGCAUACCUGUGCCAGAGCUGAGAUCUCCUCAUGCCAGGUGUAGAGGCAAUGGAUACUGCAGACACCCCUGAGCAGUAGGUCUGAAGGGCUGGCCAGGUAUAGACACAGAUUUAACCAACAUCCCCCAGACCUUCAGUUCACACAGGCUCCUCGUAUUUGGGGGUUAGCCUCUAUUUUACAUUUUUCUUAUCUCAAAUUCUGUUGCUCCAAGCAUUUCUUACUAAUGGCCUCAGCCCUGACACAAAGAAAAUUGUUUUCUGAAUGGUGAUAAAGUGAUGCCCCUGAGGGAAACAUGGUGAUAUUGCUCCUCCCUCUGUCAAAAGAGAUUCUGGGCAUAAAGUAUAUCCUUUACACCAAAAAUAAAAACUGCUGCAAGUGGAAUCACCAGAAAUGUCAUUUAUACCAGGGAGGAUAACCUGCAGCUGUUCAGGGCUCCUGUAUGAAUCUUUUGUUUGUUUUUGUUCCUCAUUGUAGCGAUGAGACACAAAUAUUUGAGCCUUGCAGGCUGGAGGACCUGGGUAUCAUCAUUAAACAGGCACAGGAAGAAGUGGUACCUGUGCCAGGUAAUCACACUUGGCCUGAGCCUGGAAAUCCCACCACAACUAUUGAACAUACCGAAGAAUUUGGCAGCAGAUUCUCAGGGUUACCCCAGAGGACUUCUGCUGCUUGAGCCAUGUGUAACUACAUUUGGUUCU
Molecule: long non-coding RNA, 7182 nt
Organism: Parus major (Great Tit)
Lineage: Eukaryota; Metazoa; Chordata; Aves; Passeriformes; Paridae
Exons: 8
Source: RefSeq, a predicted model, not a curated record